AGAGGUUCGAAGGCGAUCAGAUACCGCCCUAGUUCUAACCAUAAACGAUGCCAGCCAGCGAUCCGCCGAAGUUCCUCCGAUGACUCGGCGGGCAGCUUCCGGGAAACCAAAGCUUUUGGGUUCCGGGGGAAGUAUGGUUGCAAAGCUGAAACUUAAAGGAAUUGACGGAAGGGCACCACCAGGAGUGGAGCCUGCGGCUUAAUUUGACUCAACACGGGAAACCUCACCAGGCCCGGACACCGGAAGGAUUGACAGAUUGAGAGCUCUUUCUUGAUUCGGUGGGUGGUGGUGCAUGGCCGUUCUUAGUUGGUGGAGCGAUUUGUCUGGUUAAUUCCGGUAACGAACGAGACUCUAGCCUGCUAAAUAGACGAUUUCCGGUAUCCACAAUAGUGCUACCGGCGAAAUCAAUAUCUUCUUAGAGGGACAGGCGGCUUUCAGCCGCACGAAACUGAGCAAUAACAGGUCUGUGAUGCCCUUAGAUGUCCUGGGCCGCACGCGCGCUACACUGAAGGAAUCAGCGUGUACACCCUGGCCGAAAGGCUCGGGCAACCCGUUGAACCUCCUUCGUGCUAGGGAUUGGGGCUUGCAAUUGUUCCCCAUGAACGAGGAAUUCCCAGUAAGCGCGAG
RNAcentral lists this ribosomal RNA (627 nucleotides) under Durangona tigrina. RNAcentral's name for it is "SSU rRNA". It matches the Rfam family "Eukaryotic small subunit ribosomal RNA", at positions 992 to 1627 of the family's 1831-position model. The record is from RNAcentral. Lineage: Eukaryota; Metazoa; Arthropoda; Insecta; Hemiptera; Cicadidae.